AGAUAUAGGGUAUCAGGUAGCUCGGCCUACAGAAAACUGUUCUCAAUUUGCAAUUUUUGUUAGCCACAACAAUCUUUUCACAAACUGGAGCCGUAGCUAAUUUGUUAGUCAAGCAAACUCUUUUUUAGGCCUAUACAGAGGUGAAGGGGAGUUGAGGGGUGUAGUGAAGCUCGAGGUGGGGUCGAGCUGCCCCAGAGACCCCCUAACCUUAGCCCUUGGCUGCAAGAUCCGGUCGUCGGCAAUUUCACCACCCACUCUUGUUGCAGGCUUGAUCAGCUGAGAUGUCAUUAACCCGGAGCUCCUCUUCAGCCUCGAGUGGAACCGCUUCUCCUCCUAGCGAACAGGGUUCAGUUUCUGGUGAAGAACAUAUCUUCAACAGGGAUGGAUUUGCUGAGUUGGAGACCUGGGAGGACCCCACUCCUAGGCCAUCACCCUUUACUCUCAAGGAGCUGGGUGAUGCCUGGGUUGCUGCUGCAAAGCGCCAGCUCAUUCGCAGGCCCAAGACACCGCCCCGUGAGGAGCUGCUGAGGCGCAGCCAAGAGCAUAACCAGAAGAGUUUGAUAAUAGCGUUGAACGUCUAUGCCAAGUAAAACAGUAUGCAACCUACUGACCUCGAGGUAAUCAAAGUGAAAGCAAGAAACCUAAUCAUCGAGGGGGGAAAGGGAUACAUACACUUUAACUUUCUUGUGAAAAUGCAAGGUGACCCAUCUAGUUUGUUCUUUGCGGAGGUGCAUCCGGAUUGUAGAGAGGAGGAGGAUAUGUAUCUUUGCACCCCUUUGGAAGCUAAUGACUCGGGUAACUGUUAUGGGUGCAAGGACCGUGCAAAAGAGCUUUUGCAUCCCACUACCGGUGGCUACUUGGGUGGGCACAAAGAUGUUGUUUUCCCCUUCAUUUACGAAAGUGAUGAAGAAAGUGAAGAUGAGGCCUGAUUUCUCUUGGUUUCUUGCGUUAGUCUUAAUCUGAUGUGCUAGUGGGGUUGCGUACGACAAGAAAUAGUGUGGUGCUAGUUUGUGGCCGCAUCUAUUCCCCCCCCCCCCCCCUGCGUUGACUUUGAACUCAGUUCUUUGGUGGAUUGUACUCUGGGUAGAGAGAGCUGUCCUUAUGGUAAGGUGUUGCGAAGUUGCAAAAGAUUGAUUGAAAUUUCCUCUA
Long non-coding RNA from Triticum aestivum (bread wheat), 1149 nucleotides. RefSeq lists it as uncharacterized. Lineage: Eukaryota; Viridiplantae; Streptophyta; Magnoliopsida; Poales; Poaceae. The record is from RefSeq and is a predicted model, not a curated record. The transcript is spliced from 4 exons.